Molecule: ribosomal RNA, 508 nt
Filed under: uncultured bacterium
Lineage: Bacteria
Description: partial 16S ribosomal RNA
Rfam family: Bacterial small subunit ribosomal RNA
Source: RNAcentral
AUUGAACGCUGGCGGCAUGCCUUACACAUGCAAGUCGAACGGCAGCGGGGGAGAAGCUUGCUUUUCCUGCCGGCGAGUGGCGAACGGGUGAGUAAUACAUCGGAACGUGUCCUGUAGUGGGGGAUAACUAGUCGAAAGAUUAGCUAAUACUGCGUACGACCUGAGGGUGAAAGCGGGGGACCGCAAGGCCUCAUGCUAUAGGAGCGGCCGAUGUCGGAUUAGCUAGGUGGGGGGGUAAAGGCAUACCAAGGCGACGAUCAGUAGCUGGCCGAAGAGGACGAUCAGCCACACUGGGACUGAGACACGGCCCAGACUCCGACGGGAGGCAGCAGUGGAGAAUUUUGGACAGUGGGAGAAAGCCUGAUCCAGCACUGCCGCGUGUGUGAAGAAGGCCUUCGUGUUGUAAAGCACUUUUGUCCGGAAAGAAAUGGCUCUGGUUAAUACCUGGGGUCGAUGGCGGUACCGGAAGAAUAAGGACCGGCUAACUACGUGCCAGCCGCCGCGGUAA